This 403-nucleotide ribosomal RNA is filed under the name Williopsis jadinii. RNAcentral describes it as "LSU rRNA". It matches the Rfam family "Eukaryotic large subunit ribosomal RNA", at positions 119 to 525 of the family's 3401-position model. The record is from RNAcentral. Lineage: Eukaryota; Fungi; Ascomycota; Saccharomycetes; Phaffomycetales; Wickerhamomycetaceae.
AAUCUGAGGCUUUCAGCCCCGAGUUGUAAUUUGAAGAUGGUGUUCUGGUGCCGGCCCCCUGUCUACGUUCCUUGGAACAGGACAUCACAGAGGGUGAGAAUCCCGUCUGGCGGGGCGGCCUGGCUCCGUGUAGAGCGCCAUCGACGAGUCGAGUUGUUUGGGAAUGCAGCUCUAAGUGGGUGGUAAAUUCCAUCUAAAGCUAAAUAUUGGCGAGAGACCGAUAGCGAACAAGUACAGUGAUGGAAAGAUGAAAAGAACUCUGAAAAGAGAGUGAAAAAGUACGUGAAAUUGUUGAAAGGGAAGGGUAUUGGAUCAGACUUGGUGCUGUGCGAAUAGCGGCCCUUCUUGGGCUGCCCACUCGCACUCCACCGGGCCAGCAUCGGUUUGGGCGGCAAGACAAUGG